GUUUGAUUAGUACUAGUAAGUCAGGUGUGAUUAAAACCUCCUUUUUUGAGUUCUUCUUUAACUCCCAUUCAAAAGGCACGCACACCUCUCACCUGUCCAGGUGAACUUAAAGGUGAGUGCACGUCACACCUUCCACUUCACCACAUCAGUGAAACGGUGAGGUUAAUGUACAGAUAUUACAUUCUGCGCCCCGUCCGGGACUGUCAUUAUAAGAGCUGUGUUCAAUAAACGAAGAAAACAAGUCACCUACCUUGUUGUUUACGUUUCUAUCUUUGUCGAGCUGGUCGUAACGAAUAAAAAAAAAGAAGAAAGAAAAAAAAGGGGGGCAGUUUGUAGAGGAGCCGUGGCGGAGCUUUCGGAGAGGGGGGUGAAGAAGCGGAUCCGAGGGGUAAAUGUGGUAAAAAAGGGUAAAAAGCCCGGCUGUAGCUGGAGCAGCGUUAUUCCUGGCGCGCAGGUUGGGACUGAUCCCUUUCAGCCACUCCAGGAAACCAACCUGCGGACGGACUGACGUGUUACGCCUCUUCUAAUGACAUUUUUUUCUUCUCUCUCUCUCUCUCUCUCUCUCUCUCUCUCUCUCUCUCUCUCUCUCUCUCUCUUUUCUUUGCUGUAACACAGAGCAGGAGAGAGAGAGGGAGAGAGACAGAGAGACAGAGAAAGAGAGAGAUAGGCUGAAACACGCGCCACCUAUCUUCACGGGGAGGGAUAAUUGAGGAGGACCAAACGUGAGCAUCUUCAGGGAACCCCAAUCAGACCGGAGCGCGGGCGGGAAAAGGUGCCUCAACAUCCUCAACAUCUGGAGCUGUGGAGGCGGCAGCUGCGGGAGGGGGAGCGCCACUUAAGGGGACCAGGACGUAGAUCUUCACAAAGGCGCAGCAGUCCCGGUGGAGCAGCGGAGUCUUCGCUACUGGAGGAUCCUCAGAAAGCAUCUCCCCUUCCUGCAAGUACUGGAUUACAUGCAUAUCAUUAGGCUUCAAUUCACACCAAGGCAAAGUAUUUCUGCUGGAUUUAAAGAGUGUCUGUUCCCCUUUGGCUCUCCGACCAGCAGAGAAAGGAAGUCCAUGAGAAAGUCCCAGAAAAUCUCACAUCUGCAGCAGGGAUGGAGCAGAGUACACACAGAGGUCAAGUCCCCGGCGAUGCGAAAGUACCAGAUUGGAAGCCUCAAAACCAGCAGCAUUUUUGACUAUUUUGAUGUUCCAGCUUUGUGAAGCAAAGCCACAAGAGUAGAGGCAGAAAACACACCCAAUUAAUUCUGACAUUGACAGGAUUUCUCUCUCUCUCUCUCUCUCUCUCUCUCUCUCUGUCUCUCUCCGUCUCUCUCUGCAGCCUCCCGGCCUAAAAAAGGUAAGCACAGGGAAAAAAAAACAGGAAAACUUUGACUCAGGGCAGAUGACUUAUCACUCGCCGAAAUUAAUAAUUGACUGCCGUUAAGAUGAAUAAUUAAUCAAGCACUGGAAUAAUUGUUGUAUCUCUAAUCUCUACACACAUUUGCAUAUGAGUCUUUUUAAAGCAAGCCUCUAUAUAUAUAUAUGUGUGUGUGUGCGUGUGUGAGAGGAUUCUCUCAGGAGCACAGAGAUAUAAUUAAUAACGCUAACUUGAGUCUCUCUGCCCAAGUGUGGGGUUAGCAUUCCAGCUAGAGUUAAGAAAAAUCAAUAAAGUACAUUUGAUGAAUAUGACUGGACAGUUUUUUGUUUUGAUGGGAUCAUACAGUGCGCUGUAUUCAAGCGGCAGCAUCGUUAGUAGAGCUGUUACUGUGCUUGUUAUUAUACAUAUUACAGUUCUGUGAGUUCGUGUAGACGCUAUAAAAGCAGGCAGGCUGUAGCCACAGGGGGCGAGAGAGGGCGAGAGGUGGAGGUCUAUGUGGACCUACAGAGAGUAAUAAUUAAAAGGGAGAAUAAUAUGGUUGUAAUAAAGCACAACAGUGACUUACAUAACUUGCAGUUUUUUGGAAUAAUAUAAUGUGAUCUUUGUGUUCAUUCAUCAGCAUUUUAUGUAAGUGAAGAAAUAACAGUCACAUGUUUUCUCUCUCUCUCUCUCUCUCUCUCUCUCUCUCUCUCUCUCUCCCUCCCUCUCUCGGUCAUCUACACACAAGCUUCAGUAAGAACCGUGUGUAUGUCCUGCUAGCAUUUGACUAUGAGUAAUAUUUGAUUUUUGACUUCUGAAAGUUUCUGUUUUAACACAAGGACCAUAUGCCCCUCAGUAGACUGUGCUAAAACUCUGCAAUUUGAUAGAACUGAUCUAAGUAAGCUUUUUUAUAGAACUGCUAUAACUAUAGUCUAUAACUCAGCAGAAAAAUGCAGAAUACUAGUACAAACAAGCAUAAAGCUAGUACAUCAGCCCUAUGGCUUAGCAAAGAAAUAGGCUUCAGUAAGCAGAGCUGUCAUUACUGUAAUGUGAUUACCUUUUCUUGUAAUGCAUUACAGUUCAAAAUUUUGCAGUGACAUUACAGUUACUGACUUAACAAAAAUGAUACUUGCAUUACUCAUAUCGUCGCUGUCUGAACAAAAUCUCAUACCUCCAAAUGAGCAACUUUACAGAAGAAGGGAAAACGCUCUUAACUGUUAACAGAAUUUUAUCUUUCUUUUUCAAGUAACUGUGGACCAUUUCUAGUCAUCUGCUCAAUGUACAAUUGUAAGACAAUGUACUGGGGAACUAAGGUUUUUGAAUUAAGUAAAAAAUGACAAAAAAUGGCAGUAGAAAAUUUUGUUGCGGCUGUGACAAUAUGUCUCAAAGGGAGCAAUAUUAAUAAUAAUUAUGUGCAAUGCAUUUAAAGCAUGCAUUUCCUCUAUGUAGAUUUUUCGUAUGUGCCUACAAUAGCAGACUGCGCUAGUUUGACUGGGAAUAUAGUUAUAGCGUGAGAAACGCUGUAACUCCACACACAGUCUGUCAAACAUCUAAUCUAUGCUAAUGUAAAACUGAUGGAUAAAGAUCCUCAUGCUGAAGAGGAGGAGAAGAGAGCCCCUAAACAGACCAGACAUGUUUUACAGAGCCCUAUAAGCUAUACAUUGUUUAUUAAAGAUAUUAUGUCGAAGCAGUUGCUUUGGAACUGCAUUACUAUUGGGUUUUCCCCUAUACAGAGUAACAUAGAAGUAAAGUAAAGAGUGAUUAGGUUAUGUUCAUACUUAACAAAGUUAUUCCAAUACAGUUUGAGAAAAGUAAAUUGUAACUGGUUACUUUUUUAGCACGUAGUAAUGGACUACAUGUAAUGUACCAUUUUUAAAUGUAAUUAAAAAAAGAAAUGAGUACUGGAUAUAAGUGUACCACAAAUAACCAGUCAUCUGUCACCAGCUCUCUCUCUCUCUCUCUCUCUCUCUCUCUCUCUCUAUCUCUCUCUAUCUCUGUCUCUCUGUCUCUCUCCAAUCCCAUCUUCAUUUGGCUGGUUCUUUAACAGGCCGAACUGAAGGGAGUUGAUUCCCCUUUGAUCCUGACGCUUGUUGUAAGAGAGAACGGCUUGAAGAGAGCGUUUGGCUACAAUUGACUGCUACAAUUAAGGCAUGAUCAGAGGCCCAGAGGGCUGCACUUAACCGCCACAUCUACAUGUCAGCUUGGUGAAUUAAAAAAAAAAAAAAAGCAAAAGAAAAAAGAGGCAAAAAAUAUGCAGCGCUGGAUUUUUUUCUCUCUUUAUUUCCUGUGUGGCUGGUAAACUGUAAUUUGUGGGGAGUUAAGAAAGCACAUGGAGAGGAGCAGAGAUGCACAUUACCAUGUGAAAGGAAGCAAUCAGGGGACCACUGCUGAGUCUAUUGUCCAGAGAGACUGCUGAUCCUCAGAGAGAGAGAGAGAGGGAGGGGGAGAAGGCAGGGAGAGAGAGAGUUUUCAGGCCAUGAUAGUUCUCAUAGAGACGAUGGGUGUGAACAAGGUGGAGCAAGAGUGUGUGAAGAGUAUGUUUGUGCAUUUGUAAGAUUUAACUGAUCUGUAGAGCGUACAGUACUCUCUCUUUGCCGACAUAAACGUGUAAAAGCUUCAGCGUCCAGUCACCAGCAAGUGUAAAAAAAGGAAAAAAAGGCUUCAAUCUCCAGGUGACCGCCUUGGCCAGACAGACUGGACAGAACGUUCGGAGGCGGGGGCAGAGGGCCGUUUCAGAUGAAAGUCUGUCAUUUGCCUUAGCAAAUCAGAGAACAGCACUAGCAUGAGCCAAAACUGAUGGACAUUUCAAGUGUCUACACAGAACAUAACAGUGAAUCAGAGACAGCAUUAGGUGUUAGCAGGGGUUUGCAAUUAACUGAUGACCUGCAUGCAUCAUAUAAAGGGCAUAUUAAGACUAAUUUUAGAGAGUAAGUAUAUUAUGUUGUACAUAUAGCGCAGUAUAAACUACAUAGUAAGACGUUGCUGAUUGGAUGUCGGCCCAUUAUGACAUCAUUUUACUUUAUUGAUUUAUGUUAAUCAUUUCGUUUCUUUUUGUGAAUGUUUCACUAUAAAGGUGCUGCUCAAUGUUGUAUACUUCAUAUUUCGUGAAACAAACUAUCAUGACGUUAUAGUUUUACCAUGUCACCCACGCUUAUUGCACUGUAUAUAUUGUUUUUACACACUGUUUGUCACUGACUUACUCUUGUAGCCUUUUGCUAUGAAAGGCGUUUGAUUCCUUUAUAGAAGUCAGAUUUUUCUGAGAUGGCAUUUUAUUGUGUGUACCAUGCAGUGAAAACAGUGAGAAGGAUUUUUGUUAUGCUGAGCUGAUAUAAUGACAAUAAAGUUGAACUGAAUGAGAGAAAAAAAUGUGUGAGCCAUAAAAGGCCAUUCAGCAAAAUUGUUUUAUAGAAGUCGGACAUGUUUGAAAAGCCUGCUGGACCGACGCGCUGUGAGUGUGUUUACAGUCCAGUGGAGUUAAACUAUUGUGCUCACUCAACCUCAGACCACUCUUCCCCUCCCUCUGUGCAGCCCCCCCAACCCACGCUGCCCUCUACAACACCCCCCAACCAACUCAACCUCCAAAACUUUAUUUAGCUGCUCCAAAGAGCUGUUUGUGUCCCAAAGCGGUGUCCUACCACUUUUCAGUUUGAUGCCCAUUAACAUCUGAAAUACUUAUUGCUGUGGAUGUGAACCUGUUGUUGUUGUAGGUUCCAGAUACAAACAAACUUGGAAUUUAUUUAAACGCAGUGUGGAUGUGAUAUUUUCAAAUUAUGGGAAUUUAAACUUUGAGUCCAUAUAGGGGUCCAAUUCCUCAAAAAAAUAAAAACAAAGUUAUUUGAAUUAUGUCACUUUUCUGUACAAUCAA
Pygocentrus nattereri (red-bellied piranha) is the source of this 5206-nucleotide long non-coding RNA. Lineage: Eukaryota; Metazoa; Chordata; Actinopteri; Characiformes; Serrasalmidae. The record is from Ensembl.